This is a long non-coding RNA of Perca fluviatilis (European perch), 1282 nucleotides long. RefSeq lists it as uncharacterized. The record is from RefSeq and is a predicted model, not a curated record. NCBI's taxonomy places the organism in Eukaryota, Metazoa, Chordata, Actinopteri, Perciformes, Percidae. The transcript is spliced from 4 exons.
UGACGUGAGACUGGGUUGGGUUGUCAGUUGGUUUGCUAUUGUAGCAGGUUGAUUGGUCGCAGGUGGUUUCAAUCACACUCACUCUCUCUGGACCAAUCAGGAAGUAACUGCAUGCUAUAUAGGCAGGGGGUUUGACCUCUUGACACUUUUACUCUUUGUUGCUGGAAGCACAUUUCCGCUUUGGGUCCUUUUGCGUGGUGCAGUCACGGUUGUGCAACAGUGUCUCCCUGUUACAAACCCGAUCCUUCCUGUAACGGAACCCGGUUGAGUGUUGCUGCUGGCUCUGUGUAGCUGUACUAUCGGCACUGUCGGUGUAUUGGUGCAAAGCUCCUUGACGGGGUUGUAAAAUUGCUUCGCUUGCGCUGGUAUCUGCAAUAGCCCCUCCCUUCCCUGCCACGCUGCUGUUUUGUCUCAACUGACUUUUGUUUCAACCACUGUCAACGGGUUGUAACCACACGAGCUCACGCCAGGCUUUGAACGCCUCUACGCGCCUUUCAGCGCCAGGAUCUGUUGCCAAAGUGUCCGACAGGGCUGUAUUUGAGUGAUUGUGACACGGACGAUAGCUUUGCCUUUCUUUGGCUUGCCCGUGCUUACUAAUGUGUAUGGAGAUUGGGGUUUAUGUUUAUGGGUUUAUUUGUUAAAUUAUGAUUAAGUGAUUUUUGGUUAAUUUAUAUUUCUUUUUGUUUAAGUCCUGAUAAGACUCAUUUCUGUUGAAACUUUAUGAUUUUAUCUGUUAAUCUUUUGUUUGGCUCCAGGCAGCUCGGAUUAAGUGAUCUUUGGUUGAUUUUUAUUUCUGUUUAAGUUGUGAUAACGACUUUCAUUUUUGCUGAGACCUUUAUGGUUUAUUUGUUAAUUUUGGUUAUUUGUUAUGCUCUAGGCAGCUAUUUAGACACCUUUGCUGCCUAGAUUUGCCUUAGAUUGAAGUUUUUCAUUUAUUUUUGGUUUGAUUCAUUUUCCCUCCCCAAUAAUUGAAUGUUCUUCUCCUAUAGGUGCUGAGUGCCGAAGGUGGUGGUGUCAGUGUCCCCAGUGGUGGUGUCUCCCUCCUGUGUGCUGUGUUUUCCCCCUUGGUUUAUUUUGAGUUUCUCACCACUGUGCGUGUGUGUGUGUGUUCACGUGUGACUGGGGUGAUCCUUCCCUGAGACCCCACACCCUUUGACCCUGUCCCUCCACCGGUAAGGCCUCAGCACUUAUUUACCACAUUUAGUAGGUCUGGUAUUUUAAAUAGUCUUUUAUAUUUGAUGUUUUAGUAAUUGUAUUAAUAAAAUCAUUGUUUUUGAUGGAA